Long non-coding RNA from Triticum aestivum (bread wheat), 867 nucleotides. RefSeq lists it as uncharacterized. The record is from RefSeq and is a predicted model, not a curated record. The transcript has 5 exons. NCBI's taxonomy places the organism in Eukaryota, Viridiplantae, Streptophyta, Magnoliopsida, Poales, Poaceae.
CUUGAUCACUUUUCCUCAAAUCGCCGCGAUGGCUAAUAUACCGGAACCCUAGCGUUCCUCUUACCUCAUACCCAUACGCUCAGAAUUCAUAGAAAUUCCAUAGAAAUUCUUACGGAUACUUCUCGGGAUCUAACACGGAGCCGCGCCCCGCCCCCCGCGCCCUUCGCCGCCCGCCGCGGGUAGAGCCGGAGCCGCCCCGGCCCCCGCGCCCUUCGCCGCCCGCUGCUGGAGCCGCCCCCGCCCGCAGCUGGGGCCGCCGCAGGUCGCGCCGCCGCUGCAGGUCGCGUCGGAGCUGCCCCACAGCUCGAGCCGCCACAGGCUGCGUCGGAGCCGGCCCGCCGCUGGAGCCACUGCUGGAACCGCCCGCCGCGGGAGCCGCGAGCCGCUGGUCGCCAUUGGACUUUUCCACACCUCCACGAGCAAGCGACCCACGCGCACAUCACUCUCCGCUGCACUAGUGAGGAAGUGAUGGUGCACGAGGACGAGCUUCCUGGACAAGAAGAUCUCCGUACUCUUCUCGGUGAUGCAAAGUUGAGCUGCAGAUCGUCUAUAUCGAUUCUGGAGACCGAUUCUUGGUGCUGCUGCAGAUCGUCUACAUUGAUUCUGGACGUCGAUUCUUCAUUUACCCUUCUUAUUACCAUUUGCUAACUUAACCACCUCUCUCUCUCAUGUUGGUUCUGAAGAUCUUUUAUGUGUCAUGUCGACAAGGGCGUUUGAUAAGAGAUCCAAGCAGGCUGCAUGUGAGGUGAAUCAAGGAAGUUGGUAGAAUAUGCAGCCUUGAUAGCAGAGGUUUGUGAAUCUUAUGCCAGGUUUGUUGCCUCCAUGUUAAACACUGAAGAAAUGGGGUUUCAGAUCAGCAAGGCAAGA